UCGCUUCGGGAAUAUAGCCUUAAGGUGGGGGACAACAGUUGGAAACGACUGCUAAUACCGCAUAACGUCUACGGACCAAAGGGGGCUUCGGCUCUCGCCCUUAGAUUAGCCCAAGUGGGAUUAGCUAGUUGGUGAGGUAAUGGCUCACCAAGGCGACGAUCCCUAGCUGGUUUGAGAGGAUGAUCAGCCACACUGGAACUGAGACACGGUCCAGACUCCUACGGGAGGCAGCAGUGGGGAAUAUUGCACAAUGGGCGCAAGCCUGAUGCAGCCAUGCCGCGUGUGUGAAGAAGGCCUUAGGGUUGUAAAGCACUUUCAGUAAGGAGGAAAGGUUAGUAGUUAAUACCUGCUAGCUGUGACGUUACUUACAGAAAAAGCACCGGCUAACUCCGUGCCAGCAGCCGCGGUAAUACGGAGGGUGCGAGCGUUAAUCGGAAUUACUGGGCGUAAAGCGUACGCAGGCGGUUUGUUAAGCGAGAUGUGAAAGCCCCGGGCUCAACCUGGGAACUGCAUUUCAAACUGGCAAACUAAAGUAUGAUAGAGGGGUGGUAGAAUUUCAGGUGUAGCGGUGAAAUGCGUA
Molecule: ribosomal RNA, 580 nt
Filed under: Pseudoalteromonas sp.
Lineage: Bacteria; Pseudomonadati; Pseudomonadota; Gammaproteobacteria; Alteromonadales; Pseudoalteromonadaceae
Description: bacterial SSU rRNA
Rfam family: Bacterial small subunit ribosomal RNA
Source: RNAcentral